This 824-nucleotide long non-coding RNA is filed under the name Gallus gallus (chicken). Lineage: Eukaryota; Metazoa; Chordata; Aves; Galliformes; Phasianidae. The record is from RNAcentral.
AACAGCACGGCUUUUACACAGGACCAAGUGCAAGGAUGAAUGGUAGAAAGGUGCCUGCCCUGGAAUAACUCGUCCCAAGGGGGAAUCAGAGUGGAGCACACUGGUAUGCAGUGUCUGCUUAAUGUAGGAGUGUGAAAAAAGCAAAAUGGGAAUUAAUGAAGGCUAAAGAAGAGCAGAAACCCUAGGGGCUCUCAUUCCUUCCUCAUCUACCAGCCACACUCAUGGAAACGCUUUGUGACGUUCUCCAAAUCCUUGGACGUGAACCUAUAACUAAGCAUACCAGAACUCCCCCUACUGAGGAGCUACCACAACCACAGCUAAAUAUUUGGGGAAUUUCUUUGGCAAAACACUUCCCCGUUGGAAAGUGCUGAUUUGUUGAAACCAAAGCUUUCUGUGGAAAAACAUCAGCUUCCGUGAAAUAUUACUUGGGAAGAGGUUCUUGGGCUCACAGUGCAAUUGCUUGGCAGAGCCAGGCAGAUAAAGCAUUCCUUAUGGGACUCUUCUGCACCGUCCAUGCGCUGGGGGGCAGACAGACCAGCAGACAGACAUAAACACAAACCAGAAAGGGCAACCUCCAGUGUGGAAGGCCAGAUUUAAAGGAGGUGUUUGAACCUGACCUUUCCCACCAGGCUGCUGCCAUAUGGGAAGGGGGCUGGAUCCUGUCUCAGAAUCUGUGUUCAAGAAAAUGAGCUCUGGCAUUUUGGUUUUCUGUUUCAAAAAAAAGAGAGGAAACAACAAGACAAACCCAUUAAACUUGUCAUGAAACGGCACUCAGUUCCCAUUCCCACUUUCUAGUCUUAGCAUAAAUGGUUUCAUUGUACUCG